This 481-nucleotide ribosomal RNA is filed under the name uncultured bacterium. RNAcentral's name for it is "partial 16S ribosomal RNA". It matches the Rfam family "Bacterial small subunit ribosomal RNA", at positions 28 to 507 of the family's 1533-position model. The record is from RNAcentral.
GAUGAACGCUGGCGGCGUGCUUAACACAUGCAAGUCGAACGAAGCAUUUGCGACAGAUUUUUUCGGACUGAAGUUGCUUAUGACUGAGUGGCGUACGGGCGAGUAACGCGUGGGUAACCUGCCUUGUACUGGGGGAUAGCAGCUGGAAACGGCUGGUAAUACCGCAUAAGCGCACAAUGUUGCAUGACGUGGUGUGAAAAACUCCGGUGGUAUAAGAUGGACGCGCGUCUGAUUAGGUAGUGGGUGAGAUAACAGCCCACCAAGGCGAGGAUCAGUAGCCGACCGGGUAGGGUGACCGGCCACAUUUGGACUGAGGCACGGCCCAGACUCCGACGGGAGGCAGCAGUAGGGAAUAUUACACAAUGAAGGAAACUCUGAUGCAGCGACGCCGCGUGAGUGAAGAAGUAAUUCGUUAUGUAAAGCUCUAUCAGCAGAGAAGAUAGUGACGGUACCUGACUAAGAAGCUCCGGCUAAAUACGUG